AGGACAAUGAAAUUACAAACUCUAGGACAUUGUACUAUAUCAGGAACAAUGAAUUGAACACAUUAAGGAAAAAUGAUUUAAACUAUAUAAGGAACUACCACUGCAACUGGUAAAGGAACAAUGAAAUGACAAAUUUAAGGAACAAUGAUCUUAACCAUGCCCUCAACUUGUUUAGGUACAACAUAUUGACAUUCAAAUUCAUACCUCGCUCAUCUUCCUCGUCGCCUUUUUCUUCUUCUUCAAUACCAGCUUCUCCGUCUCCGACUCAGAAAAGGUGAGCCAAGACCAACUUCAUAUUCAUCUGGUCUAGGGUAUAAACCAGAUAUCUAAGUUUCUGGUAAAAAAUCAGGAACAGGAAAGGGUGCGUUAGACGUCGAUG
RNAcentral lists this long non-coding RNA (379 nucleotides) under Zostera marina. RNAcentral's name for it is "long non-coding RNA (ZMAR_LNC004670)". Lineage: Eukaryota; Viridiplantae; Streptophyta; Magnoliopsida; Alismatales; Zosteraceae. The record is from RNAcentral.